Molecule: unclassified non-coding RNA, 684 nt
Filed under: Hevea brasiliensis (rubber tree)
Lineage: Eukaryota; Viridiplantae; Streptophyta; Magnoliopsida; Malpighiales; Euphorbiaceae
Source: RNAcentral
UGUAAUUUUCUGUCAUAUUCAACUAUAAAUACAAAAUCACAAUGUCCCUACAGGUUCAAACAUUUUCAGUCUUACUUAUUGUAAGAAAAUGAAUAUUUUCAGACAUACCCCAUAGGUCAUAAAAUAAUUUCUGAAAUUCAAUUGCAACCAAACAGCAAAGACAUUAUUUUCUCAAAACAUGUUAGUCUCCACAAAAAAUUGGAGCCUAAAUGCCAUGUCUCACUUCUUACUCAGAAAGAAACAACAGGGGGUUGACAGUCCAAUAAAAUCUUCUGGAAAUACAUGGGAUAAGAAAGUAACUUUUCCUAUAACAUCAGUUUUAUAAAAUAAAAAAAUAUGGAGGAAUCAAAUACUAACAAAGAAAAUCUGCUCAUAUUAAAAAUCUGCAUGUUUGAAAGGAACAUUAUGCAUAAGAAAAUGCGAAUAUGAAGUAGAAACCCAAAGCAAUCAGGUGUAAAAGAAAUAUAACAGACCAGCAAGUAUUAAAAAAGAAGAAAUUUCAAUGAAGGAAAUUUCAAUGAACAUGACCAACUGAUUACCACAAAUAAGACGGCUGAUCCAUGCUAGGAAUUUAUCAUAGAUUCUUAGCCAAUAUUAGAACAAAGAAAUAAGAAAUUACAUCAUCCCAGAGAAGAAAACCCUCCAAAGAGGACAAGGAUACUGGUGACAAACAUUCGUGUCUCA